GGGGACUUCCGGCUUGGAUCCGCCCAUGGCGCUUUACGUAACCGCCGCGGGGGACCCUGGGCUGCGGGAGGCGAGGGGAGCCUGGGGGGCUCGCGCUUUUCUUUGCCGACCUAGGCUUGCUUAAUGGCUGCCUGGGUUCUUCGUAGGAUCUUGAUUUGCGGGCCCUUGUUGCCGCUUUUGUGCUAGAGGUUUAUUCCCAUACCAAAUUCUUACCUAUUUAAUCACUCAAGAGAUUGAGGAAAGUGGACGAGGAAGUUCUGCCUUAGGUGGGGAACAACAGUCUUAGGUAACAUUAGUAAGAGUGCACUGUAGGGGACCUUAAUUAAUUUGCGCAUCCUCAGCUGUCUGCUCUCAGUCCAACAGGGAUUUGGAAAUGGGGAUGCUAAAUGGACUGCCCUAUAGGAUCAUUAUGUGGAAAUUGACUAAAGGAAAUUAUUCUGCCUCAACUGAAUUUUAUUCCUAGCUUCCUACUUGCUUUCUCGCAUACCCCAUCUCCACUACAUAGGCUAUGGUGAAUACAUACAAAUCUACUCAAUUAGCGCCUCUUCUGAGACUCAUUUUAUUUUUGUAUUAAUAAGGCACAUUUGACUGUAGGGGUAAACCUCUUGAGGUCAAGGAUUCUGUUACUUGCCAUAUUUGUGAGUUAACAUUAACUGAAGCAACUUCUUUUUGUGGAAGGAUUUGUAAAAAUACUAGCUAAAAUUCAAGAGCAUGGUAUUUGAGGGAUAUAAGCAGGAAAGGUAAGCAAGGUUCCUGUUCCCCAAAAUGUCACGGUUUAAUAAGGAGAUAGGGUGCUAUACUACAUAAUUAUUUGGGCAAGAUUUACAACUAUGGGGAUUUAUAAUACGGGGCAGAAAGGAUGAAGAGAAAUACUGUGGGUGUAGUGAAUAAGAAGUAGUUUUCUAUUUUAAGAAUUUGUUAUUUUGCACAGCAACUAGCCGUAAUGUGAGAUGGAAUAUAUGCUCUACAGGAGGCAUCAACGGCUCAACUGGAGUAGAGAGGUUAGGAAAUUCACUUUGAACUACCAGAGCCAGCGGCAGAUCUUCUGGAAGAGGUAGCUUUGCUGGGCUUUCUAGAAUAUGAUUUCAUUAGUUAGUCAAAGGGAGAUUGAGAAAAUGUCAAGUGCAAAAAGACUUUUUUCAAAGGCUGAAAAAAAGGAAAUGCAUUACAAGUUUCACUUUAAGUUUAUAGCCAGAAAUCUCAAGAACUUAGCAAUACUAUCGCAUUUCCUUAGUCAAUUCACUCUCCCGUGGCCCAAGAUGACUAUGACACACCUCUUCUGUCCCUAAACCUCCAAUAUUUCCUUCUUUGUUCCUCACUCUCAGUUAACUUCACUGAGAAAGUGGAAGCAAUUAGAGAAAAAUUUAAUUUCUCACCACUAAAUCUACUAAUUAACUCCUAUUCCUAUUCUUUCUGCCUUUCCUAUAGUUAAGGUGAAUGAAUGAACCUUCCCUGCUAUCUUAAACCAACCUCUUCACUUGUGCACUGGAUCCCAUUUCUUUUGUCUAGUACUUUGCAGUUGCCCCUUUACAUACUUGCAGCAGUUUUUCUGUUGAACCACUUCCAUCAGCACACAAACUUGAUAUUCUCAGUUCUUUAAAAAGCAUUCCCUUGGACCUAAUUUCUUUGAUGCUCCCCUUUAUAGCAAAAAAUUUCAACCUCCUUAUUGCCUUUUCUCUUCUGAACCCACCCCAAGCAAGCUUUCAUUCCCACCACUUCACUGAAACCAUUCUUGUCAGUCAUCAAUGACCUUCACAUGGCCAAAUUCCAGUGGGCAGUUUGCAGUCCUCUUUAGUUGAUCUCUUGAUCAUUCCCUUCUUGAAACACUGUUUUAUGUGCCUUUUAAGGCACCACACACUCAUGGCUUUCCUUCUUCCACACUGGCGACUCUUCAGUUUCAUGAAUCUCUUCCACUGGCUGUCCACUUGUUGAUGACACUUACCCUGUUUCCCUUUGUAACACAAGCCAUGCAUGACUCAUGGCAGAAACUCCAUUAUUGAAUGGGUGAAUCUGAAUGUUUAUUAAUAUGGUGUCUUGCCAAUGGGUUUCAGCCCUGGACAAGUUCACUAUGGAUUCAAUGAGAUCGAAAAAAUGACAGUGGAACGUUCUUGGGGUGAAAGGGUUUAUACCCAACUUUAUUCCCACAGUGGCAGGUCAAUCACUAGAAUCCUGUCCACUCAGGGCAAGCUGGUCUCUGCCUCUGGGCCGCUCUGCCCCCCACAGCCCUCAUUGUCUCUGUCCUUGGCACUGCCACCACUCCAGUCUCUGCUCUCCUACAGCCAUGCAGCCAUGCAGCAGCCCAGAGCACGGGGUGGAGCUCUUUAUAUAAAUUCAAUAACAAUGUAUUGCCCACAUAUGUGUAGUGAGCAAGCCGACCAGGGCCAGGUGAGAAUCCUGGCCAUAGGAAUCUUCACUUUCUCCACAUACGGGAUAUAUAAAGUCUAGGAAAGUAGGAUGGGUCAUGUUAUUGAGAGCUUUGGAAGCCAAAGAGCUUUGAACUUUUCUAGGCAGAUGAAAACCACUGAGCACUAGAGUACUGUGAUAUAUGCUCUAAUUUAGGCUCGUUACUCUAAUUUUGGAUUUUAGAAUGGAUUGAGGGAGAAAGGACUGGAAGCAAAGAAAUAAAUUAGGUGGCUACACCAUAUGAUAGUCAAGACUUAAUGGUGACUGUACUCCAGUGCUACUGGUGGAAAAGGAAAAGUUAAUAUGGAGAGACUGUGGAGACAGAGUCUAUAUAGCUUAUGUUCUAUCCAGGUAUGGAUAGAACAGAGUGUGAUGAUGUAAAAUACACAUCCAUAUUACAUAAGAUUAAUAGGUAGACCACCUUCUAGACUCCUAUGCAACUGCCCUAGAGAAUCACCACUCUCACGGGUAGGGAAAGGGUCUGUGCAGCUUAGAGGCAGAGUCAGUAUGUUUCCAGGAUGUCUGGGAGGUCCUGUCCUCAUAUAAUUUUAGUUCACUUAGAAGGUCUUCUGACCCCUGGUAUUAGAGUCAGAGGCACCUCUGGAUCUGUGCAUACUCUGUAUCAACAAUGGCUCUUGUUUGUAGAAUAACUAUAUUGGCCACAGUCCUGAACCUAAAAAGAAAAGCACUGUUGACAUCCUGACUGUGCCAAUCUUUCUUGUAGGCAUAUUGAAUCCUUUGAAACAUUCCCAAACUGUGAGCACAUUUCCUCCUCAAAAUGUGCCUUUGUUUCAGAGAAUUCAUUUACAUCAUUUCUUUCAAAAUAGAAAAAAAAAAAAAGAUCCCAGUGUAGGAACUAAGAUUCUCUAGUGGCUUUAUUCUCCAAGUCUUUUGGGACCUGAAAUUCAAUAUACUUAAUAUCUUGUGUAGCCUUCCCCCUUCUCUAAUUAAAAACUUUCUCUUAUCCUUACUGCCUCUCUUAAUUAUUCAACCAUCUUAUUCCUCAGCCUGGUAAAGUAGUGUUGUUUUGUUUUGUUUUUAGGUCCUGUAUAUAAUUCACGUUUUGGGAGGCUCUCCACUCUGCUGAUAGAAAUUUCCAGAACUACUGGAGCACCCUAUUGUCUUUUUCUAAGUUGAGGCUAAUCUUUUGCCUUUAUGCUCUUUUGAAUGCCUCUUAAUACCAUACUUUGUUACCACAUACCAAAAUUUUAUUUAUGUCAAUAAUGAAGAAAUCAGCAGAAUGACAAAACUGGUUUAGAGAAUAUAUGAAAAAUUGGGACUUACAUAGUCAAUAGGGAAGGAAAUGCCAAGAAGGAUGUUAAGUUAGGUACAAAAGCAGUUAAUGUCCUCUGAGGCAGUAACUAUAAUUUCUGGGGUUAUCUUCCUUAGUAAAUUAGAAAAAAAAUCACUGUAUCUUAUUAGUUUUCUACACAUUAUCCUCCAACACAUUACCCUCUAAAACUUGUCUGUGCUUCACAAUAUAGGCACUUCACGGGGAAGGCAGUACAGUACGGAGAAGACAAGUAGUGACUCUAUAGCAUCUUACUAUGCUGAUGGACUGUGACUACAAUGGGGUGGGGUGGGGGACUCGAUAAUAAGGGUGAAUGCUGAAACCACAAUGUUGCUCAUGGAUAUAAAUAUGGAUAUAUAUGAAGGAUAUAACCUUCAUAAGAUUAUAUCAAUGAUACCUUAAUAAAAAAAAAAUGUGAGUGCUAAUCAAAAUUACAUUCCCCAAGGUAAUCCGGUGACCCUUAGGUGGACUUAUUUGAAAAAGCUCUAGCAUAAUACUAAAAGAUUCUGUAGUCAUCUUUUUGCUUUACUCCUAAAAUGUACAUAAUUUUUCCUACACAAAUCCCCCGUGACUAUAAAUAAUCUCUAAAGAUUAUUUUUGAUCACACACUAAAAAGGUUGAUUUCAUGUUUUUGUAUCAAAAUCAUUAACUGAAUAUCUUGCUUAGAUGGCUGUUUUCUACAUUUCUACUGGAUAUGAUACUCUUUCAUACUGUGCCUUCAGCAUCAAGAUCUUCCUACCCUCCCAUCACAACACCAUAAUUAUCAUCUUUGCCUACAAGAUAAUUUCAGGCCCUAGUCUCAACAGGUAGUAAUAACACUAGCAUAUAACUAGGGUUCAGUAGCCUCUCAGAAGGUGGGACAGGCACUGCUAGUUCUAUUAUCCAAUAUUCAUUCUUCUUACUUUCUGACAGAACCCAGAGUUGGCAUGGUGGUUCCGUAAUGAUCAGGAACUUCUAUUCCUUCUAUUAUGUUGUUCUGCUGUCCUCACACAUGCUUUUCUAUCUCAUGAUCCAAGAUGGCUAGCUUCAUCCACGUUAUCUGCACUCCAACCAGCAGGAAGGAGAAAAGGGAAGGCAAAGGGUAUCUAGCUUCUUUUUUUUUUUUUUUCUGCGUGGGUCAAAGAGAACAGGUGGUCUCUAGCUUCUUUUAAUGACAUUUUUGAGAAGUUGCAUAUUAGCUAGAAAUUAGUUACAUGAUCUCCUAGCUUCAAGGGAGGCUAGGAAAUACUGUACUUACUGUGAAUGUCUGUGUGCCCAGCUAUAAAUUGGGGAUUCUAUUACAUGAGAAGAAGAAAAGCACAACUAGCAGGUUGUACCACUAUAUGCAAAACUAUGUGGAGAAAAUGAUAAAACUCUAUUGAAAUACAUUUUAAAAACCCAAAUAAAGAUAAAAAAACAUGUUCACAUAUAAGAAGACUCAUAACUGUAAAAAUGUCAGUUCUUCAAACUGAUGAUUAGUUUGAAUGAAGUUCCAAAUAAGGAACUGGAUAAAUCAAUUAAAAAAUUUACCUGGAAGACCAAAGGGCCAAACUAGCCAAGACACUCUUGAAAGAAAGGAUGAAAAAAAAAACCAACAGUGGUGAGGGGACUAGCCAUGCUGGACAUCAUUAUUAUACACCCAUAGAAAAAGAGACGUGACAUUAGCAGGAAUAGACAAAUGGAUCAAUGUAACAGAAUAGAGAUCUGACAAACAGAUUUAUAUAUAUAUAUAUAUAUGGAAACUUGAUAACAGAAGCAUCAUUGCAGAUCAGUAGGGAGAAGGUGGGUUGCUCAAUACAUGGAGCUAGGAUAACCAGAUAUUUAUAUAGGAAAAAAACAGAAUCUCUACUUCAUAACAUAUAUAAAAAAUAAAUUCCAGUUGAAUUAAAAACUUAAAAAAUGAUAUACAGGAGAAUGUUUUAUGAAAUCAAGGUAGGAAAGAGUUAUUAAACAAGAUAUUAAAAAUAACUAGAGGAAAAACUGACAAAUAUGAUGGCAUGAAAUGAAAACAUGUUUCAUGCCAAAAUUAGACUUUUGAGCAAAAUACAGAAGCACACAGAUGACAGAACAAUUAACUGCCUCAGGAGAAAGUGAUUUUGAGGUGGAUAUUGACCUGUGUUUGAGUGUUCACCAGGAGUACAUGGGGCAAAACAUUCUAAGCAGAGAGAAGAGCAUAUACAAAAAUACAGAGCCAAAACAAUGUGGUGUAUUCAAGGAACUACCAUGGUGGAAUACACUGCAGAGAGGCUGCAUGAAGACACAGGCUUUCAAAUCAAAUCAAUAAACCCUACCACUUACCAGAUGCCGACACUGACACCUCCUGGAAAUGGAGCAGAAGAGAGAGGAAUGUUCUUGGUGGCUUCCUGUUCUCUAGACGUGACUAAUGUUGAAAGCUGACUGUCUCACAAUGGAUGCAUUUGUAUGGCUCCUUCAGAGGCUUCCUUGCUAGGCCUUUCCAAUGAUAAUGUCAGCAAUCUGAAGUGAGAUGAUGCUUUGUAUUUCUAUGGCCUUCACUCCACCUCUCAUCCUUUUUUUCCAGUGGUCCAUUCUACACAGAACCCUUGUGAGGAGUCCCAUUAUGGUUCCAGGAAGUUCUUUGAGUAGGAUUUAAACUAGCUCCAUACUUGUCCCCAGAAUUCAUGUAUAUUUGACCUUUUGUCAGAAGGCAGUGCAGUUACUUACAAGACAGAGCUGUCUACUUUGUUACUUCAGGCUCUGUUGUCAGCCAACCUUUGCCUUGAAAUUCUUCCAGCAUGAGUCAUACACAGUCUAUUAUCUCCUACCCAGGAACAAAUACCAAAUGCUUCAAAGGUCCCGUGAGGCCCCCUUUCUCGGCUUGAGAAGAGAGAAGUACCUCCACCUCUUUUUGGGAUUGGAUGCAGUUCACAUGGUAGUAGGUCUCUCCAAAGAAAUCUCUUUUAUAAACCUGUCUCCACUCUUGAAAUAGGGUGUGUGUGUGGGUUCAAGAAUCAUGGAACUGGUCCUUGGUAAUUUCCUCUAACUUUGCAUGACUAUCUGGUGUCUCCCUUUGCAAUUUCGUACUACUUAUAUCUGAAACAUCCAAUUUAAAAUCUUGUUAAAUGUACAUCUGAAACUAAUAUAAUAUUGGAUGUCAACUCUACUUCAAUUUAAAAAAAUAAAAAUCUUGUUAAAACAAUCUCUUUUAUCAGUUACAUCCUUUGCAUUCCUUACCUGGAGUCUGUGAUUCAGCCAUGUGUCACAGGCCAGUCUUAGGGUAGUCAUCAAGUUGGUCUAACAUGGUCUGGUCUCCCCUUUAGUGAUUAAAACAAGCCAAGCCAAGACCUAGGGCCCACUACAAUGAUCCCACUGCCUCUGAGAGGGACAGCUCAGGACUUCCUCUCGGCUCCAGACCCAACUCUCCAGGAGAGUGUACACAGGGCACAGGGUUUGGUGGAGUGGCUAUGGCCUUUGGAGUCUGUCAAUUACCAAGCAACCUUAGAUAAACCUUUACUGAACUUCAGUAAAAUUUUGUAAAAUACAGAAUAGUCUUACCUUUUAAUUCAAAAUUCAAUUUUCAGUUAUGCAAUUAAUACAUAUUCUUGUAAAAAUGCAAAACGUCACGAUGAGAUUAAAUUUCCUUUAUCAUGUCCAGUCCCACUCCCCUAACUCCCCUUCAGAUGUAAUAAAAAUUCUCAGAUUAGUAUUUAUUUUCACAGUCCUUUUUCAAACUGGAUCUUUUUUUUUUUUUACCUGUAAAAAUAGGAUAGUAAUAUUUAUUCUGUGAGAUAGAACAGAGUUGAAGAUGCAAGGUGCAUAAUGUUUUCUUCUAUUUCCUCAGUGUGUUAAGAGGAGCUGAGACCUGGAGAACUUAGCUCUACAGUAAAUUCAAGCUGAACAAAAGAAAUCUUACCUAUAUCCAGAGGUGGAAUUAUCUGCCCUCUAUCUGUUAUUAGAAAAUACUAGUUUUUUCUUCAGAAAGUUCAGCAGACAUCAUGCACAGAGCCUACAGCAGGAAUAAGCCCCAGCCUGUUACACUGAGAUAAGCAGCCUCCUCUUGAAUAGGGGUCUGCUGGGGAAGGGGAGCCAGAGCCAAAGGCAGAGGGGACAUUCCGCCUCCUUUAUACUCUUCCAUUGUAGUCAGGCAAGGAUGAUUUUAUGUCUUGUGUCUUCUCGUCUCUGUGGCUUCCAUUUCAAAUUUCAGAAAAGAAGAGAUCGUAUGCCCAGCUUCCCCCCCAAAACAGCUUUCCAGUUGAGUACAACAAAGUCAAAAAACAAAACAACCCUCCCUCCCCCAACAAUCUGGCUCCACCAUCACUCCACAGUGUAAGAUAAAUUUUAGCCGAAAUAAGCAGGUGAAGAGAGGCAACAAAGGGCCAGGUAGUUUAUUUGAGUGCAACUCCCAGGUGAUGUUCCGCGGUCUGGGUAUUACAGGCCAGGGAAGUCACACCCGGUCAGGGAGGUGGGGGCUUAUAAAGGAUUAGGAGGGGGAGGAGUGGGCAAGCUAUCCUAGGGGGCGUGGAGAGGUAUGAUUGGCUAAAGGUGACAUAAUAGACAACUAGAAACCUUUUUUCCUUCCAAGAGGGAGGAGGCUGACAUCCGGGUCUUAGUUUGCACAUCAGAAGGAUGGAAUUCAGGAGGAGCUGUCCCCUUUCCAUAUAAGGCACGGACCUUGGGGUCUGGUUUGUUCUUCCCCAAUGGCAUCUCUCUGUUCUGUUUGCAUGUCCUUGUUUUUACUUCCUCCAGCCUAACACACGGGACAUGGGACACACUCCUCCAGUAGCUUUUCUCUGUUAUCAGGGCACACAUGCCAAGAUUUCCAAAGGCACCAGUGGUUGGUUCCCAGAUACCCCAGAUAAGGAUUUUAUUUUGGUGUAAGAACAAACCCCAUCUACUUUGCCAGCCAUGAUACAACUUUCUUUACAUAUAUUGACUUUCUUUUUUUAUUAAGGUAUUAUUGAUAUACACUCUUGAGAAGGUUUCACAUGAUAAAACAAUGUAGUUACUACAUUCACCCAUGUUACCGUGUCCCCCCCAUGCCCCAUUGCAGUCACUGCCCAACAGUAUAGUAAGAUGCCACAGAGGCAUUAUUUGCCUUCUCUGUGCUACACUGUCUUCUCCAUGAUCUCUCCCCACCAGCCCUCCCUCACCCCUCCCCUUUGGUAACCAUUAGUCCCUUCUUGGGGUCUGUGAGUCUGCUGCUAUUUUGUUCCUUCAGUUUUGCUUCACUGUUAUACUCCACAAAUGAGGGAAAAAUUUGCUACUUGUCUUUCUCUGCCUGGCUUAUUUCACUGAGCAUAAUAUCCUCCAGCUCCAUCCAUGUUGCAAAUGGUAGUACAUAUAUUUACUUUUAAUGAAAGCCAUAUAAAGUUUGUACUAUAAUUAUCCUCAUAUUACAGAUGAAGGGACUGAGGCUCAAAAAGAUUAAGUAAUUCUGUCCUUAAACAUAUCCUGAGGUAGAUAUGUUUAAGAAUAGUACUGGUCAGUGUGAAGUGGCUUCUGCCAGCAGGAAUGAUAUGCAUGGAAAUGUGGCAAGAGUAGAAGAGGUAGAGUAAUAGCAAAUUAAGAAAAAUACAUGUCCCAGCAAGAACUGCCACUCACCCCUACCACUCGGUCGAGGCCAUGCUCUAGGGUGUGUGUGUGUUUAACCAAAUCUCCAUAACAACCAUCUGGUUUCAGUCUUUCUGGUUUCUGACAACAUAGGCUUGCAGUGUCUAAAUAUGGUCACUGGUGAGGAUGAGCUGGGGAGGGGAAGUGGGACUGCUGAGUCAAGGAGAAUUUGUGCAGAAAAGGUGGAUUCCUUGGUAUGCACUGAUCUAUCCCUCCCAGUUCACCCUCAAGAUCGGAAAGGGUCUUAAGGCCCUGAUCUUUCCUUCUUCACAACAAUCAGUUAAGAGCUGAGCACUGCGUACAUUUUGUCUUAAAAAAAACCAAAUUAUGUAAAUUCCUAUCCAGUCAGGGAUCUCCCCUGCAAGAGGGGAUUGGUAGAAAUUUUGGCUUCCCAUUUUCACCCUAUGUGCCACUUUCAGGGCCACUGUGGGUAGAGGUUGGAGGAGCCCAUCUGACGAAGGCAUGGUAGCCCUACAGGGAUAUGUGAGGGAGAAAAACCUGGCACAGGGCUGUAGGAAUAAGGAUAGUCACUCCUGAGAGAAUUAAAUGGGCCCAGGCCUACAUUACAAGAGCCCCUUCCUUAAGUCAGCACAGUGGUUCCCAACCAACUACAGGUGACAUUUGGCAAUGUCUGGACUUUGAUUGUCCUGUCUGAGCAUCUAGUGGAUAGAGAACAGAAGUGUUGUGAAUACCUAAAACUAAAAGCCUCCACAACAAAGAAGUAUCUGGUAAAAAAUGUUAGUCCCAAGGUUGAGACACCCUGAGUUAGAAUAUGCUGGUCCUACCUGAGUCCUCUCCUUGGUCCAUUACAGGAGCACUGGUACUAGGUCAGAUUACUUGAAGGGAAUACAGUGGAUGCCAACUGUUCCCCUGGGCCCUGAGUUCUUUUCAAACUUCCAACCCAAGUACUCAGCUUACUUCUAACAAAAAUAAAUCUAACUCAGAGUCUGAGAUUUGCUGUGAAAUCAGCUUGUACAGAAGAGGGUCUUGGGUAUAGGAAAAGCUGUCUGACAGAGGCCGUACAACUGUGCAGAAGGGAAAUUGCUUGGCCACACUUUUGCCAUUUGUAAAAUGAGUACACUGAACUCAGUGAUUUCUAAUGUCCCUUAGUUCCAAAACUGUACUUCUGGAUAUUUCUUGUACAUAGUUGUACCUGGUUUGGGUCAGUGAAAGAGGAAAUGACUCAGAAAGGCAAUGGAGGAAGUCUGAGGGUGACUCAGACUUUCCUAAUCAUAAAAGGCUCUUCAGAGAUGACCUUAAUGUCAAACCGGGACUCAUGAUCACUGAAUGAUGCCAGGAACUUCCUUUGUAUAUUUCAGUAGGUGGUAUCCAUAAGGGGUGAUUUUAGCAAAAUUUAAGUUGGCCUCUGCUAAAAAAAAAUCCCCCAUUGGUCUGCUGAUGUUUGAAUUUCUACCAUGAGAGUUUUAGCUCUAGUUAAACAGAGUUUUAGCUCUAGUUAAACAUAAAUAUUCUAGCAUAGGUAUCAGUUUGACGUUACUAACUGGGUUUCAGAGUACAAGGUAGGUAGCUGGCACUAGAUCAAGAAUGAUGCUUGUUGAUGGGUAUGCAGUCCUAGCAGUUAAUGUAAUUUGAGAAAAGUUCAUGUAUUGUGUAAAUUCUAUUCAGUUCAAUCUUUUCAAUCUAAAUAUUAUAAUAAAGAUUUAAUAACUAAGAGUUCAUAUUUUAUAUUAAUCUCUAUUAUCUAUGUGUGAUAAAUGUCAGAAUAAGGUUCAAAAAAAGUCCACCUAAAUACACUAAGUGUCACUAAACUUGUUUAUACCAAAGCUCUUCUUACCUGAAGGGGCCACUGUACUAGAAUGUGCUUAUCAGUGUUAAAUGCUUUCUUCCUGUUGUAAGGAGACAUUUUAAUGUCUGACCAUUCUUGGUAGAGCACUUGGUCUUUACCUCUUCUUAGUCAUGUGGCUUGUCUAGAAAGUUCUCCAAGAGAGACCCAGCUUAACCUUCCAAUUUCUUUCAUUAGAGGUUUCAUUUCUUUGCUUAUCCACUACUGUUAUCAUUCAGAGAUUCUUUAAAUGUCAAAGUCUUUUUUAUUUUUUCUGAAUACUUACAGAUUAAUCUGAAGAUGUUAGUGCACAAUUUAUUUCUUCAAAAAAUAAUUACUAACACGUGCCAAGCACUGAUCUUGUUUUUUCACUUCUUUUUCAUUAAGGUAUCACAGAUACACAUUUUUAUGAAGGUUUCACAUGAAAAGCAAUGUGGUUACUACAUUUAUCCAUAUUAUCGAGUUCCCCCCCAUACCCCAUUGCAGUCACUGUCCAUCAGUGUAGUAAGAUGCCACAGAGUCACUACUUGUCUUCUCUUUGCUAUACUGUCUUUCCCAUGAUCCCCCCCCCCCACACCAU
This is a long non-coding RNA of Manis pentadactyla (Chinese pangolin), 11604 nucleotides long. RefSeq lists it as uncharacterized. The transcript has 3 exons. The record is from RefSeq and is a predicted model, not a curated record. NCBI's taxonomy places the organism in Eukaryota, Metazoa, Chordata, Mammalia, Pholidota, Manidae.